UUACGCUGUUAUCCCUAAGGUAAUUUAGUUUUAUAAUCAAUAUAAAUGGGUCAAAUACAUAUAAAUAAAUAUAAAAUAAAUAAAAAGAGUUAAUUAAAUCUUUCCAUCACCCCAACAAAAUAAAUUUUUACAUUAGAAAUUAUCAUACAAAAAAAAUAAAAAUAUAUAAAACUCUAUAGGGUCUUCUCGUCCCAAAAAAACAUUUAGGCAUUUUAACCUAAAAUUUAAGUUCAAAAAAAAAAUAAAGACAGUUAACACCUCGUCAAACCAUUCAUUCCAGCCUACAAUUAAAAGACUAAUGAUUAUGCUACCUUUGCACGGUCAAAAUACCGCGGCCCUUCAAUAUUCAGUGGGCAGGCCAUACAUCAAAAUAUAUUCAAGAAGAGAUGUUUUUGAUAAACAGGCG
Molecule: ribosomal RNA, 406 nt
Filed under: Cryptocercus sp. SHUA2
Lineage: Eukaryota; Metazoa; Arthropoda; Insecta; Blattodea; Cryptocercidae
Description: partial mitochondrial 16S rRNA gene
Source: RNAcentral